This 324-nucleotide ribosomal RNA is filed under the name uncultured eukaryote. RNAcentral describes it as "partial 18S ribosomal RNA". It matches the Rfam family "Eukaryotic small subunit ribosomal RNA", at positions 1470 to 1796 of the family's 1831-position model. The record is from RNAcentral.
CCCUUAGAUGCUCUGGGCCGCACGCGCGCUACACUGGUCGAUGCAACGAGUUUCUUUCCUUGGCCGACAGGCCUGGGCAAUCUUUGAACAUCGAUCGUGAUCGGGAUAGAUUCUUGUAAUUUUUGAUCUUAAACGAGGAAUUCCUAGUAAACGCAAGUCAUCAGCUUGCAUUGAUUACGUCCCUGCCCUUUGUACACACCGCCCGUCGCACCUACCGAUCGAAGGUAAUGAUGAGCCCUCAGGAUUGUGGCCUCGUCGCGUCAGCGUCUUGGCUGCGAGAAUCUGUGCAAAUCCCUACCUUUAGAGGAAGGUGAAGUCGUAACA